UACGUAUGGAGCAAGCGUUAUCCGGAUUUACUGGGUGUAAAGGGAGCGUAGACGGAGCGACAAGUCUGAUGUGAAAGGCCGCGGCUUAACCGUGGGACUGCAUUGGAAACUGUCGUUCUGGAGUGCCGGAGAGGUAAGCGGAAUUCCUAGUGUAGCGGUGAAAUGCGUAGAUAUUAGGAGGAACACCAGUGGCGAAGGCGGCUUACUGGACGGCAACUGACGUUGAGGCUCGAAAGCGUGGGGAG
Molecule: ribosomal RNA, 245 nt
Filed under: uncultured Lachnospiraceae bacterium
Lineage: Bacteria; Bacillati; Bacillota; Clostridia; Lachnospirales; Lachnospiraceae
Description: partial 16S ribosomal RNA
Rfam family: Bacterial small subunit ribosomal RNA
Source: RNAcentral